GUGCUCGCUUUGGCAGCACAUAUACUAAAAUUGGAAUGAUACAGAGAUUAGCAUGGCCCCUGUGCAAGGAUGACAGGCAAAUUUGUGAAGCGUUCCAUAUUUUU
Molecule: small nuclear RNA, 104 nt
Organism: Callithrix jacchus (white-tufted-ear marmoset)
Lineage: Eukaryota; Metazoa; Chordata; Mammalia; Primates; Cebidae
Source: Ensembl